CCCUUAGAUGUUCUGGGCCGCACGCGCGCUACACUGAUGCAUUCAACGAGUCUAAAACCUGGUCUGAUAGGGCUGGGUAAUCUUUUGAAUGUGCAUCGUGAUUGGGAUAGAUGAUUGCAAUUCUUCAUCUUCAACGAGGAAUGCCUAGUAAACGCAAUUCAUCAGCUUGCAUUGAUUACGUCCCUGCCCUUUGUACACACCGCCCGUCGCUCCUACCGAUUGAAUGUUCCGAUGAAUACCAUGGACUGAGAGUAUGAAUGGGUUCGCCUAUUUCUGCUUCUCGGGAAGUGGAGUAAAUCUUAACAUUUAGAGGAAGGAGAAGUCGUAACA
Molecule: ribosomal RNA, 330 nt
Filed under: uncultured eukaryote
Lineage: Eukaryota
Description: partial 18S ribosomal RNA
Rfam family: Eukaryotic small subunit ribosomal RNA
Source: RNAcentral